AUGGCGUCGGCGGACAUGUUCCCCAACGUCUCCUCCUCCGACGUCAAGCCGCCGCCUCGCAGGAGGCCCCCGGCAAGGCCGUGUUCGGCCUGGACCCCGCCUCUCCGGGGCGGCGUGCCUCGUCAGCCCCGGGGCGGAGCAGGCCUUCGAGACCGACCUCUCCGACGCGCAGAUAUGCAGAUAUUCAAGCUGGGGCGGACGGAGUGUAUGUGCGUGAGCAGCGAGACGGCGGCUAUGGCUGGCGCGGAAGAGGUAGUACUCUUCAGUUGGAUGUACCCCAGUUCGGUUUUACUUAGUUUUGUGCUCCUGUUUGGAUGUACCCCAGUUGAAAAUGUGUGGUGCUCGCUUUGCCUAAUUUUCUGUUUAAGGAUUAUAGUUUUUGCCGGGCAGAUGCUAUGUAGAGAAUCAGUUAAUUUCCUCUAG
Molecule: ribosomal RNA, 423 nt
Filed under: Triticum aestivum (bread wheat)
Lineage: Eukaryota; Viridiplantae; Streptophyta; Magnoliopsida; Poales; Poaceae
Description: partial small subunit ribosomal RNA
Source: RNAcentral